This is a non-coding RNA of Solanum lycopersicum (tomato), 655 nucleotides long. NCBI's taxonomy places the organism in Eukaryota, Viridiplantae, Streptophyta, Magnoliopsida, Solanales, Solanaceae. The record is from RefSeq and is a predicted model, not a curated record.
UGUUAUCAAUGUACUUCAUAAUACUCUGCUCUUAUCUUCUUCAUUUGAGUUUAUGCUCCACUGUCUGUGCACACCAAAGUUCACUUCUUUUUCUUCAGCAUUCUUCAGAGAAAGAUGUCAAAAUUUGAAACAUAGUCUUAAAGACUACUGUUUUGCCUUGGAUCGCAGUGGGCUGUUAUGAUUCUGCAGACAACACGAGUUCAAUCUGCUACUCUUGUAGAUGAGUCUUAUAGUUUUUACAUCGAAAAUAGUACGAUGAAUCUUUCCAAUCGGGUGAAAAAAUGAUUCCUCAAAGUUACAGAUCAAGAUGAAACAUAGAGAAGGCUUGACCAAUUACCUAGGGGAUGUGGAGAGGUAACAUAAAGAAGAGAGAUUGGCCAGUGUGUGCAACUACUCCAAAAGUAUAAGAGACAUAAAUGCUUCCCUUCGGCAGAUGAAAAUAUUGUUAUGCAAAUAUGCAUUUUGCAAAGUCAGAAUUCAAUUGAUUAUUCUAUAAAAGUAAAGUUCAUCACCUACUGAGCUAAUUUGUUUUUACAUUAUUUAAUUUCUUUUGGAGUUGAGAGUGAAUUUAAAAUCUUUAUACUAAAUUCUAUCGUAUCUCUAAUUGUACGUGGCAAUUCAUAAAUAUAAGAUACAACAUAAUUAUUAGCGAUUA